CUUGGCGAAUGACUCCUCCCUGGAAGAGAAAGAACAUAUGGUGAAAUAUAUUACCUUUUUUUCUUUCUAUUUUUUUGGCAAUUGGGAUACAUUAUUUUAGAUGUAGUUAGUUCUUUCUGAAAUUAAAUUCAAGAAAAUAAGACAGGAGGAGAAGUAGGACAAACAAAAGAGCAAUAGUCUAAUAUUAGGAAAGCAAAGACAAAAAAAAAUUGUCUUUGCAAACCUUUAUCAAUAAAAUCUGUGACAUUCAAGUUGUAUCAUAUAAUAACAAUACUGUUAUUCAAUUGUGGUUUUUAGGAUUCAAAAUUUAUGAUCAAUGACUUAGACUUUUGAUUUCUUGUUCAUAAUUGAUCAGCAUCCCUUCUUGUAUGACAUGAGUUCAAGCUUUUAAACAUGAUAAAAUCUUAAUGAAUAGUUUUAUCCUCCAGUGCUGUUAAGCACUAGGUUUUGAAAUGGUUCCAAGAUAUUGCAUUAUUGCCUAACUACCAACUGUUAAUUCUAACUCAAGAACAGAACCUAAUUAUGAUCUUUAUUAUGUACAAUGGAUGUAAAUUGUGGCCCAAAUGAAGGAAGGAACUGUCCAGAGAAUCUUCAGAAUCAUAUUUUUCAGUUAGUGGGAUAAUCAUAGCUUAUGAUCUGGGGAACUCUUCUACAUGACAAAUAAUUGAAAUAUUGUCACAGAAUCAUGUUAAAAUAAUAACAAGGCACUAGAGAGAAAAAGAAAAAACAAGCAGAACAGUUCCCAUCAGCCGCAUCUAGAAAGCCUGAAUCACCUUGGAAAAACUAUAUCAUAACAAUUUGAGCACUGAUGUACUCUCUUGAUCAACCUAGAGUUUUGGUUAUAAAUUCCAGUUUUCCAGCGUAUCACAAGUCAAUAUUAAGAAUAAAGGGUCAAUUUUAGAUUAUUAACACAUCAAGUGAUGAACAUUUCAACAGUUUCAAUAAAAGGAAAAAGUAAGAGAAACUUA
Molecule: unclassified non-coding RNA, 968 nt
Filed under: Hevea brasiliensis (rubber tree)
Lineage: Eukaryota; Viridiplantae; Streptophyta; Magnoliopsida; Malpighiales; Euphorbiaceae
Source: RNAcentral